AGAACGAACGCUGGCGGCAUGCCUAAUACAUGCAAGUCGAACGAACUCUUCGGAGUUAGUGGCGCACGGGUGCGUAACGCGUGGGAAUCUGCCCCUUGGUUCGGAAUAACAGUUGGAAACGACUGCUAAUACCGGAUGAUGACGAAAGUCCAAAGAUUUAUCGCCAAGGGAUGAGCCCACGUAGGAUUAGCUAGUUGGUGAGGUAAAGGCUCACCAAGGCAACGAUCCUUAGCUGGUCUGAGAGGAUGAUCAGCCACACUGGGACUGAGACACGGCCCAGACCUCCGUACGGGAGCGAGCAGUAGGGAAUAGUUAGGACAAGUGGGCGACGAAGCCUAGACUCCAAGCAAUGGCCGCGUAGGAGUAGAGU
Molecule: ribosomal RNA, 370 nt
Filed under: uncultured soil bacterium
Lineage: Bacteria
Description: bacterial SSU rRNA
Rfam family: Bacterial small subunit ribosomal RNA
Source: RNAcentral